Molecule: ribosomal RNA, 1339 nt
Filed under: Graphium sp. UCR2334
Lineage: Eukaryota; Fungi; Ascomycota; Sordariomycetes; Microascales; Graphiaceae
Description: SSU rRNA
Rfam family: Eukaryotic small subunit ribosomal RNA
Source: RNAcentral
CUGCGAAUGGCUCAUUAUAUAAGUUAUAGUUUAUUUGAUAGCACCUUACUACAUGGAUAACUGUGGUAAUUCUAGAGCUAAAACAUGCUAAAAAUCCCGACUUCGGAAGGGAUGUGUUUAUUAGAUUAAAAACCAAUGCCCUUCGGGGCUGCUUGGUGAUUCAUAAUAACCUCUCGAAUCGCACGGCCUUGCGCCGGCGAUGGUUCAUUCAAAUUUCUUCCCUAUCAACUUUCGAUGCGAAGGUAUUGUCUUCGCAUGGUUACAACGGGUAACGGAGGGUUAGGGCUCGACCCCGGAGAAGGAGCCUGAGAAACGGCUACUACAUCCAAGGAAGGCAGCAGGCGCGCAAAUUACCCAAUCCCGACACGGGGAGGUAGUGACAAUAAAUACUGAUACAGGGCUCUUUUGGGUCUUGUAAUUGGAAUGAGUACAAUUUAAAUCCCUUAACGAGGAACAAUUGGAGGGCAAGUCUGGUGCCAGCAGCCGCGGUAAUUCCAGCUCCAAUAGCGUAUAUUAAAGUUGUUGUGGUUAAAAAGCUCGUAGUUGAACCUUGGGCCUGGCUGGCCGGUCCCCCUCACCGGGUGCACUGGUCCGGCCGGGCCUUUCCCUCUGUGGAACCGCAUGCCCUUCACUGGGUGUGCCGGGGAAACAGGACUUUUACUUUGAAAAAAUUAGAGUGCUCCAGGCAGGCCUAUGCUCGAAUACAUUAGCAUGGAAUAAUAGAAUAGGACGUGUGGUUCUAUUUUGUUGGUUUCUAGGACCGCCGUAAUGAUUAAUAGGGACAGUCGGGGGCAUCAGUAUUCAAUUGUCAGAGGUGAAAUUCUUGGAUCUAUUGAAGACUAACUACUGCGAAAGCAUUUGCCAAGGAUGUUUUCAUUGAUAAGGAACGAAAGUUAGGGGAUCGAAGACGAUCAGAUACCGUCGUAGUCUUAACUAUAAACUAUGCCGACUAGGGAUCGGACGGUGUUUAUACUUGACCCGUUCGGCACCUUUCGAGAAAUCAAAGUGCUUGGGCUCCAGGGGGAGUAUGGUCGCAAGGCUGAAACUUAAAGAAAUUGACGGAAGGGCACCACCAGGGGUGGAGCCUGCGGCUUAAUUUGACUCAACACGGGGAAACUCACCAGGUCCAGACACAAUGAGGAUUGACAGAUUGAGAGCUCUUUCUUGAUUUUGUGGGUGGUGGUGCAUGGCCGUUCUUAGUUGGUGGAGUGAUUUGUCAGCUUAAUUGCGAUAACGAACGAGACCUUCUUCUGCUAAAUAGCCCGAACUGCUUUGGCAGUCCGCCGGCUUCUUAGAGAGACUAUCGGCUCAAGCCGAUGGAAGUUGGAGGCAAUAACAG